AAAUAACAUUAUCUGGCACAACCGAGCGUAAAUAUUAAGCGAGAAAGUCUAGUGGAACGAUGCAGGGUUCAUUGGGUUUGUUUACAAAAAUUCAAGCAUCCGGUUAAGAAGACGACAAAUAAGAAUGGUAUUAAGUUGGUAGAAUGGAACUCCUUCCUGAUUCCUGCACAUGUAAGUUACCAGAUACUCUUGAGGGACCAAUUUAAGGGCAAACAGACAAACGUUUUGAUGCAAAGAAAGCAUUGGAUUUGAAAGUUCCCAUGGAGAAGAAAAAUGGAGAGAUUCUAAAAGUAUGAAGAUACUCCUGUGUAUAAUGAGGAAAUCUUGUCAGUGAAUGUUGUUGCAAUUGUGGACCAGGCCAGAGUUGUACUAAACCAACUAAGACACAAUGAGAUACAGGAAUGACACAAUGAGAAACAGGAAACAGGAAAGUGAUGACUGAUCGCCACCUGUUACAAAUUCAUCUAGAAAACUCCCCACAUCCAACAAGAGACAGUCUGACUUCAAAAUCUUCAUUGAAGGCAACUUAAUGGACAAGACAUCCGUCACAUAAAGAUUCACUAAAAUUGGAAUGAUAUACCAAUUUUAACUUUUAACAGACAAAUACAUUAUAGAUUUGAAAAUAGAUUACCCUUAGAUAAGUUGGAUGAUUAACAUUUACCUCAACACAGUACAAAGUGCUCAUGUUGAACUAUUGUGAUUGAUCAUAGUCUGUCCUUCAUUUUUAUUAACAGUUUCAUACAGUGUUAACACUUUAGUAUGGGGACUCAUUUUUAGCUCAACUUUUCGAAGAAUUUGGAGAGCUAUACUACUCACCCAAGCGUCGGCGUCGGUGUCACCCCUUGGUUAAGGGUUUGCGUGCAAGCACACAUAGGUUAAUAUCUCAGCAACUACUUGAGGUAUUGCAUUGAGACUUUAUACAAUGGUACUCAACCAUCCAACCUACUUAUUUAAACAAGUAAGAUAACUCGUUAACAAGUUUGCAUUUAAUGUAAAUAAUAGGCCUUUAUUAUUUGACUUAGAAAUUCUGGUUAAGGUUUUGCAUGCAAGCACACAUUAUAUCUAAGGUUAAUAUCUCAGCAACUGCUUGAGGUAUUGCAUUGAGACUUGAUACAAUGGUACUCAACCAUCCAACCUAUUUAAUUUUCCAAGUUAUAUAACUAUAGUUUGCAUAUAAUGCAAAUACUUGCGUUUAUUAUUUCACUCAGAAAUUCUGGUUAAGGUUUUGCAUGUAAGCACACAUAGGUUAAUAUCUCAGCAACUACUGGAUGAAUUGCAUUGAGACUUUAUACAACCACCCAACCUAAUUGAAUAAUCAAGUUAGAUAAAAAUUCUGGUUAAAAUUUUGCAUGUAACCACAUUUAUGUUAAUAUCUCAGCACAUCAUGUAUUGCAUUGAAAUCUAAUCUAACAGUGAUCCAUGCAUGUUUCGCCAAAACUUUUCAAUCCUUUCACUGAAAAGCAGCGGAAUAGUCGAGAGCGCUGUCUCUGUGACAGCUCUUGUCUCUUUGGUCUUUAUUCAUACUGGCCAGAAUAUGUUUACCAAAAAAAUCUUAGUAGAGAUUGAUAACUGUUCAGGUUGGACAAAAAGCAUGUAGGUUGUUUGUUCUAAUAAUAUAAACUGUAAAUGCUUCAGAAACUAUAUAUAUAAUUUUCAUGAUAUUUGUCAGUAUUUAUUCUCGUCAACAUUUAAAUAAUAUUAGGUGAAACUUGUUUAUUGGUCAAAAUGUGUUUGAUUAGAGUGGCCUCAAGUUCCACUUUAUAUGAAUGAAAUUUGGUCAAGUUUUAGAAAAAAAACUAUGUUCUAGUUUUAUAGGCCAUAUUCUCUUCCCAAGCCCUCCUUAAAGAAUGAAUGUAGGUAAGAUGAAACAGGAGUCACUAAAUCAAGUAUUAAAAGCCUUAAAAAUUGCUAUUCAUAGAGAUAUUGUUUCCUCAUCAUAAAUCACAACUUAGCCAGCAAGACUUUACAACAAAUAAGGCAUAACAUGUAAAAAGUUAAUAAUUAGGCACAUAUUUUAGUGAAUAAAAUCUUGUGAACAUAUUAUUGAAAGAAAUAAUGUGUCUGGUUCUGAGGUGAGCAAUAAAGCACAUUGCUUAAACAAUUGAGCUAGCUCAUUAUGAAAAGUUUGUUUUAAACAUGAAUUAAAUGAAUGCAAAUCAUAUAUUAUUAUUUUUAAUCUAUAUUUUUUUUUAGUUACCUUUUUCUGUUGUUAAUUUCCAUACUGACUUGGUCAAUUAUGGCUAAUUGUCUAAUUAUAUUUUAACUUCUAACCUAAAUGUUUUAUUGUACUUUUGAGUGUUCUGUUAACUAUAUUGCACAUUAUCCUAUAUGACAGUAUAAAUUCAAUAAAACCAUGGUUAUUAAGUUCCAUACAUAUUGGAGCACAUGGUAAGCCUCUAGAAAUGUCACUUCUUAAGCCUAGAUUCUUGAUCUGUUCGCCACAUUGUUUUGUUAAUUUUUUGUUUAUUAUAAAAACAAAUGAUUGUUUAAUGUCAAGGAAACCUUUUUAAAGUUAAAAUGUAGAUGUACAUAGAUAACUGUCAAAUAUUAUUUACCAUUUAAUAACUGUCUAAAGGCAAAAUUUCCAUUCAUUUUUAUAUUUGAUUUGGGUCCCUAGGGUCAUGGUCACUGUAACUAAAAAUAGAAAAAUGCUUGGUACUGAAUAACUUCAGUUUUAAUACAUUUAAAACUGAAUCUCACAAUAAAGGCUGAAGUUCUUGUUGCAUUGCAGCAUUUCUAGUUAACUUUUUAAUUUGACUCUUUUUAUUGCUUUCGACAGGCACAUAUUACAUCAUUAUUGUAUUCAUUUUUAAGACAAAGCCUCAUUUAAUUGAGCGUGCUGUCCAAAGACAGCUCUUGUUGACAUAAUUAUAAGACACCUUAUGUUAUGGUUUAUAUGAACAAUAGCUGUUUCUGUGUAUGUUUUAGAAGAAACUUCCAUUUCUUAUCAUAUUGAUGGACAUAGAUAUACAUACAUGUACGGGAUUAUUGACAUCAGAUUCUUAGGAUUAAAUUUACUAAUGUUCUGUUCAUGUUCAAAAUAGAUACAGUUAUGGUAAAUG
Molecule: long non-coding RNA, 3062 nt
Organism: Mya arenaria
Lineage: Eukaryota; Metazoa; Mollusca; Bivalvia; Myida; Myidae
Exons: 6
Source: RefSeq, a predicted model, not a curated record